GAUGAACGCUGGCGGCGUGCCUAAUACAUGCAAGUCGAGCGAACGGACGAGAAGCUUGCUUCUCUGAUGUUAGCGGCGGACGGGUGAGUAACACGUGGAUAACCUACCUAUAAGACUGGGAUAACUUCGGGAAACCGGAGCUAAUACCGGAUAAUAUUUUGAACCGCAUGGUUCAAAAGUGAAAGACGGUCUUGCUGUCACUUAUAGAUGGAUCCGCGCUGCAUUAGCUAGUUGGUAAGGUAACGGCUUACCAAGGCAACGAUGCAUAGCCGACCUGAGAGGGUGAUCGGCCACACUGGAACUGAGACACGGUCCAGACUCCUACGGGAGGCAGCAGUAGGGAAUCUUCCGCAAUGGGCGAAAGCCUGACGGAGCAACGCCGCGUGAGUGAUGAAGGUCUUCGGAUCGUAAAACUCUGUUAUUAGGGAAGAACAUAUGUGUAAGUAACUGUGCACAUCUUGACGGUACCUAAUCAGAAAGCCACGGCUAACUACGUGCCAGCAGCCGCGGUAAUACGUAGGUGGCAAGCGUUAUCCGGAAUUAUUUGGCGUAAAGCGCGCGUAGGCGGUUUUUUAGUCUGAUGUGAAAGCCCACGGCUCAACCGUGGAGGGUCAUUGGAAACUGGAAAACUUGAGUGCAGAAGAGGAAAGUGGAAUUCCAUGUGUAGCGGUGAAAUGCGCAGAGAUAUGGAGGAACACCAGUGGCGAAGGCGACUUUCUGGUCUGUAACUGACGCUGAUGUGCGAAAGCGUGGGGAUCAAACAGGAUUAGAUACCCUGGUAGUCCACGCCGUAAACGAUGAGUGCUAAGUGUUAGGGGGUUUCCGCCCCUUAGUGCUGCAGCUAACGCAUUAAGCACUCCGCCUGGGGAGUACGACCGCAAGGUUGAAACUCAAAGGAAUUGACGGGGACCCGCACAAGCGGUGGAGCAUGUGGUUUAAUUCGAAGCAACGCGAAGAACCUUACCAAAUCUUGACAUCCUUUGACAACUCUAGAGAUAGAGCCUUCCCCUUCGGGGGACAAAGUGACAGGUGGUGCAUGGUUGCCGUCAGCUCGUGUCGUGAGAUGUUGGGUUAAGUCCCGCAACGAGCGCAACCCUUAAGCUUAGUUGCCAUCAUUAAGUUGGGCACUCUAAGUUGACUGCCGGUGACAAACCGGAGGAAGGUGGGGAUGACGUCAAAUCAUCAUGCCCCUUAUGAUUUGGGCUACACACGUGCUACAAUGGACAAUACAAAGGGCAGCGAAACCGCGAGGUCAAGCAAAUCCCAUAAAGUUGUUCUCAGUUCGGAUUGUAGUCUGCAACUCGACUACAUGAAGCUGGAGUCGCUAGUAAUCGUAGAUCAGCAUGCUACGGUGAAUACGUUCCCGGGUCU
RNAcentral lists this ribosomal RNA (1371 nucleotides) under uncultured bacterium. Its description in RNAcentral is "bacterial SSU rRNA". It matches the Rfam family "Bacterial small subunit ribosomal RNA", at positions 28 to 1381 of the family's 1533-position model. The record is from RNAcentral.